UCAGCUUUUCAUAGUAGAACGUAGGCAACGUAUCUACCAUAAUUGUGAUCAUCUCCUUCUCCGUCAUGGGCGGGAUGACUUGGGCUGCGAGAUAUCUCCACCUUUGGGCAUAUUCUUUAAUGGACUCAUGUUCUCGCUUGGUCAUACUCUGAAGCUGGUUCCGAUCGGGAGCCAUAUCUGUAUUGUAUUGGUACUGCCCAAUGAAGGCAGUCG
RNAcentral lists this long non-coding RNA (213 nucleotides) under Glycine max (soybean). Its description in RNAcentral is "long non-coding RNA (GMAX_LNC002461)". The record is from RNAcentral. Lineage: Eukaryota; Viridiplantae; Streptophyta; Magnoliopsida; Fabales; Fabaceae.